AUUGAACGCUGGCGGCAUGCCUUACACAUGCAAGUCGAACGGCAGCACGGGGGCAACCCUGGUGGCGAGUGGCGAACGGGUGAGUAAUAUAUCGGAACGUACCCUGGAGUGGGGGGAUAACGUAGCGAAAGUUACGCUAAUACCGCAUACGAUCUAAGGAUGAAAGUGGGGGAUCGCAAGACCUCAUGCUCCUGGAGCGGCCGAUAUCUGAUUAGCUAGUUGGUGGGGUAAAGGCCUACCAAGGCAUCGAUCAGUAGCUGGUCUGAGAGGACGACCAGCCACACUGGGACUGAGACACGGCCCAGACUCCUACGGGAGGCAGCAGUGGGGAAUUUUGGACAAUGGGGGCAACCCUGAUCCAGCAAUGCCGCGUGAGUGAAGAAGGCUCGGUGUAAGA
RNAcentral lists this ribosomal RNA (397 nucleotides) under uncultured bacterium. RNAcentral's name for it is "bacterial SSU rRNA". It matches the Rfam family "Bacterial small subunit ribosomal RNA", at positions 30 to 430 of the family's 1533-position model. The record is from RNAcentral.